RNAcentral lists this ribosomal RNA (855 nucleotides) under Flavobacteriales bacterium Control.4. RNAcentral describes it as "bacterial SSU rRNA". It matches the Rfam family "Bacterial small subunit ribosomal RNA", at positions 42 to 904 of the family's 1533-position model. Lineage: Bacteria; Pseudomonadati; Bacteroidota; Flavobacteriia; Flavobacteriales. The record is from RNAcentral.
AUGCGCAGCUUACCAUGCAGUCGAGGGGUAGAAGUCUUCGGACUUUGAGACCGGCGCACGGGUGCGUAACGCGUAUGCAAUCUACCUUUUACAGAGGGAUAGCCCAGAGAAAUUUGGAUUAAUACCUCAUGGUAUUACGACCUGGCAUCAGGAUGUAAUUAAAGUCACAACGGUAAAAGAUGAGCAUGCGUCCCAUUAGCUAGUUGGUAAGGUAACGGCUUACCAAGGCUACGAUGGGUAGGGGUCCUGAGAGGGAGAUCCCCCACACUGGUACUGAGACACGGACCAGACUCCUACGGGAGGCAGCAGUGAGGAAUAUUGGACAAUGGGCGCAAGCCUGAUCCAGCCAUGCCGCGUGCAGGAUGACGGUCCUAUGGAUUGUAAACUGCUUUUAUACAGGAAGAAACACCUCUACGUGUAGAGACUUGACGGUACUGUAAGAAUAAGGAUCGGCUAACUCCGUGCCAGCAGCCGCGGUAAUACGGAGGAUCCAAGCGUUAUCCGGAAUCAUUGGGUUUAAAGGGUCCGUAGGCGGUUUAGUAAGUCAGUGGUGAAAGCCCAUCGCUCAACGGUGGAACGGCCAUUGAUACUGCUAGACUUGAAUUAUUAGGAAGUAACUAGAAUAUGUAGUGUAGCGGUGAAAUGCUUAGAGAUUACAUGGAAUACCAAUUGCGAAGGCAGGUUACUACUAAUGGAUUGACGCUGAUGGACGAAAGCGUGGGUAGCGAACAGGAUUAGAUACCCUGGUAGUCCACGCCGUAAACGAUGGAUACUAGCUGUUGGGAGCAAUCUCAGUGGCUAAGCGAAAGUGAUAAGUAUCCCACCUGGGGAGUACGUUCGCAAGAAUGAACUCAG